CAACCAAAGAAGGGAUAUUUUUACAUCUCUUCUUAAAUCAAAAAAAUCCUUAAAAAUUCAUGUGGAUUAAGAAUUUAAUAUAGAUUUCAAAAAAUCAAAAAUAGUGAUAAAAUUCUCACAUAAGGAUGCUAUCCUCUCACCUCUUCACGUGAGUGCUGAUCACCAUGCGUGAAGACAUUAGGAUGAACUUGUGGCAUCCGUUUGGCAUCC
This 210-nucleotide long non-coding RNA is filed under the name Elaeis guineensis (African oil palm). RNAcentral describes it as "long non-coding RNA (EGUI_LNC074515)". Lineage: Eukaryota; Viridiplantae; Streptophyta; Magnoliopsida; Arecales; Arecaceae. The record is from RNAcentral.